Molecule: ribosomal RNA, 550 nt
Filed under: uncultured bacterium
Lineage: Bacteria
Description: bacterial SSU rRNA
Rfam family: Bacterial small subunit ribosomal RNA
Source: RNAcentral
AAUAGAUACCCAGGUAGUCCACGCCCUAAACUAUGUCAACUAGUUGUCGGGGAAGAAAUUCCUUGGUAACGCAGCUAACGCGUGAAGUUGACCGCCUGGGGAGUACGGCCGCAAGGUUAAAACUCAAAGGAAUUGACGGGGACCCGCACAAGCGGUGGAUUAUGUGGAUUAAUUCGAUGCAACGCGAAAAACCUUACCUACCCUUGACAUGUACGGAAUUCCGCAGAGAUGUGGAAGUGCCCGAAAGGGAACCGUAACACAGGUGCUGCAUGGCUGUCGUCAGCUCGUGUCGUGAGAUGUUGGGUUAAGUCCCGCAACGAGCGCAACCCUUGCCAUUAGUUGCUACAUUCAGUUGGGCACUCUAAUGGGACCGCCGGUGACAAACCGGAGGAAGGUGGGGAUGACGUCAAGUCCUCAUGGCCCUUAUGGGUAGGGCUUCACACGUAAUACAAUGGUCGGUACAGAGGGCUGCCAACCCGCAAGGGGGAGCUAAUCCCAGAAAGCCGAUCGUAGUCUGGAUUGUAGUCUGCAACUCGACUGCAUGAAGGCC